UGAAUAUCCCAACUCAUAAAAAUGGAAACAUGUUAAAACAGAGAAGAAAUCAGAAUAUAUACAAACAUAGUAAUGUGGUCACGUUUAGUUCAAGCUUGAUAGGAGCUAGCGCAGAAUAAAGUAAUGUUGAAGAUUCAAACUUAACAAUAAAAAAACGGACUUUAGUGAAACUUGACUCGCCGACUCGGCCACAAAACUAGAAAUCACAAACGAGCAAAAUUGACGGAGCUCAUCAAAAUUUCAGCCAAGCAGCAACAGUAGCAGCGAAUAGCAAACUUUCAAACUAAUUUAUCUUCCCUCGAACUCCUAUUUCACUUUGGCUUUUCUGAAAGUUUCCAUUCCCAGAUUUGACUUUGCAAAAAAAAUUAUAUUUUUUUUUAACUUUAGAGGGGCGGCUAAGUGAAGAAGUGUAGGGCUGUUAGGGUUUUUCAAUUUUGGGAAAGGUUCUUGUUUGUUCUGGUGUGUGUGUGUGUGCGUGUGUGUGUGUGCGCGCGCGCAUUAGUGAUGAAGGUGAGAGUUGAGAGUCGCCGUUUUUGGAUUUUUUAGAAAGGGGGAUGGGUUUUUGUUUGUUUUUUUUGUUGAAAAAGAGAGGAGAAUGGAGCCGUUGUUAGUGUUUUUAGGGAGGGAGUCUAUUUUCUCUGGGAAUUGGAGAUGGGGAUAACGGCUGAAGCUUUCAAAUGGGGAGAGGAUUUCAUUGUAGCAAUAGAGGGAAAAGAAAAAAAGAGGUGCCACUGGUGUGGUCUUCAAUGGGGGAGGUAGGGGAGGUCAUAUCUCUUCUUUGGUUUGGGGUGGGGGGGGAGGGGUGGAUCGUUUUUGUUCUCUUGAAGGGGAGGGGAUCCAAAAUUAGGUCUAGGAGUUUUUGUGGGAAGGGGGAAUCCGGUUGGGCUUGGGAUUUUGGGCCGUGAAAUUGGGCUAUAGAUUUUGCUUGGUCUAGUUAAGAAUGUUAACAACCAAAUCCUUCUUUUGUUUUAAUUGCUAAAUUAACCACUUUAGAUAACACACCUAAAUUGAAACUAAAUUUGUAAAAUUAGCGUGUUAACUAUCAUUAACCAAUUAUUUAACUAAAAAUGCAUGUAAAUUGACUAAAUUAUUAUUUUAUUAUAUUUUUUUGGUUGUGAUUUUCAUUUAUUAGUCUAACAAUUAAAGAGUCAUUAAUUCCUUAAAAUACAAAUUAAACCUAAGAUGGCAUGAAAUGAAAUUGUGACAAUUUUUUAUGAUUUUAAAAUAUUAAACAUGCAUGAAAAUGCAACUAAAUGAAUGCAAUCAAUUUAAAAGAAAAUCCUAAAAUUCCAUAAAUUCAAAAAUAAAUAGGAAAAAACUUUUUUUUUCUGCAGGAAUGUUUUUCUGUGAGGCAAAAAUUACGUGCUCACAGCUGUCCCUCUUUGCUUGAAAACACAAAGAGUUUUCGGCAAAGAUAAAAUGAGCAAUUACGAGCGAUUCUUUCCCAUUUGGAUAUUCCAUGGGAAGCAUAUGAAAUUUUUUUACCGAACCUUGCUUCGGAGGUUGCCUACAUAUCCUUGGCUAUAAAGAAAUCAGGUCAGUAUAGUUCUGAGAGUUUUGGUAGCUGGGACUACUGAAUAGCUGUGAUUUCACUGUUGUUGAUACUGUUACUGCUACUGAGCUCCUUAUUACACCAAAAUCAAAAUGAAAAACUAAACUAACUAAACCUAUCAGCUACGGGUUACAAGAUUCCUAUCUAUAAACCUUCUGAAGUUUGAUCUUGAGUCUUGGUUGGUUCUCUAUGCAGACUUUGAUUUGAAUCUUGAUGCUUGUUAGCAGCAAGUGUUGGUUCAUUCUUCUUCAACUUUUCAGAUCAAGGCGGGACAUGUAAAGUUUGUGACUUCAAUCAUGCCUUGAGCAGUCCACAUCUUUUCUUCACUUCUGCACUUUGAGUUCACUUCUUUUUCUUUUCUUCUGGAUUGAGACUUCUUCUUUUGGUCGUCUCGAACCUGGGCCUCGAGGUAAAACCUGCCCAGGCAACAAAACAAACAAACGAACAAAACUUUCCUGCCCCAGGUUUCGCUAGAAAAGUUUCAUGAGUUAUUGGUAACAAAACUCUAUACUACUUCAUUACUGAAAUAAAAGGUCGAGAUUGUGUAUCCUGGAAAAAGAGACUAGAGAGUGGUGACCCUAUGUCUAGAAUGAAAUCAACUAGGGAGUGGAGACCCUAUGUUGGAAAAGCGACUAGGGAGUAGAGAUCCUAUGUCUAAGAUAAAAUCAACUAGGGAUUGGAGACCCUAUGUUGGAAAAUCAUCAACUAGGGAAUGAUGACCCUAUGCUGGCAUCAACUUGGGAGUAGUGACCCUACAUUGGCAUCAAGUUAUGUUGGCAUCAGGUUAAGCUGGCAUCAACUAGGGAGUGGAGACCCUAUGUUGGCAUCAACUAGAGAUGGUGACCCUAUGUUGGCAUCAGGUUAUGUUGGCAUCAACUAGGGAGUGGAGACCCUAUGUUGGCAUCAACUAGGGAGUGGUGACCCUAUGUUGGCAUCAGGUUAUGCUGCAUCAGGUUUUGAUAACAUCAACUAAGGAAUGGAGACCCUAUGUUGGUAUCAACUAAGGAGUGAUGACCCUAUAUUGGCAUCAGGCUAUGCUGGCAUCAACUAAGGAGNGGAGACCCUAUGUUGUCAUCAACUAGGGAGUGGUGACCCUAUGUUGGCAUCAGGUUAUACUAGUAUCAGGCUAUGCUAGCAUUAACUAGGGAGUGGAGACCCUAUGUUGGCAUCAACUAAGGAGUGGUGACCCUAUGUUGGCAUCAGGUUAUGUUGGUAUCAACUAGGGAGGGGAGACCCUAUGUUGGCAUCAACUAGGGAGUGGUGACCCUAUGUUGGCAUCAGGUUAUGCUGGUAUCAGGUUAUGCUGGCAUCAACUAGGAAGUGUGACCCUAUAUUGGCAUCAACUAGGGAGUGGUGACCAUAUGUUGGCAUUAGGUUAUGCUGGCAUCAACUAGAGAGUGGAGACCCUAUGUUGGCAUCAACUAAGGAGUGGUGACCCUAUGUUGGCAUCAGGUUAUGCUGGCAUCAGGUUAUGUUGGUAUCAACUAGGGAGUGGUGACCCUAUGUUGGCAUCAACUAGGGAGUGGUGACCCUAUGUUAGCAUCAGAUUAUGCUAGCAUCACCCUAUGUUGGCAUCGACUAGGGAGUGGUGACCCUAUUUUUGCAACAGGUUAUGUUGGCACCAACUAGGGAGUGGUGACCAUAUGUUGGCAUCAACUAGGGAGUAGUGACCCUAUGUUGGCAUCAACUAGGGAGUGGUGACCCUAUGUUGGCAUUAGGUUAUGUUGGCAUCAACUAGGGAGUGGGAACCCUAUGUUGGCAUCAACUAGGAGUGGUAAACCUAUGUUGGAAAAGACGCAGCUAGGGAUUAGAGACCCUAUGCUACCAUGAUUUUGAACUUUUCUUCUUUUCUUUCUUUUCAUUUCAUUUUUUUCAUCAUCAUUUUCAUUUUUUUUAUUUAAUAAAAUGAGUAAAAAUGCAGGAAAGAAUUUGGAGAAGACUUCCUUUUUGGAUUGAUUAUUGUUGCAGAGCUAUUUUAGUCUCUACGUGAUUUCCUUUUAUUGCACCUGCUUCUUGCAAGGUUGCUUUGAAUUACACCUGUUUUUCUGUUUUUCAAACAAAGAACAAUUUGUCAGUUCGAAAUAGUGGUUCGUUUGUGGCCUUGGGCAUUUCAGUCACUUGAUCUCGGGUCUUUCAUCUGCAACUGGUCGAUUCCUGAAUACCGAUUGCAAUUCUAACCCUGGAGAACCUCUGGCUUUUCCAGACUUUGCCAUGAUGGAUGAUCGCGUGAGAUUCAACCUUUUUGACUUUAUUUUGCCUUUGUAGGCCUUUCACUUCUGACUUGUUUUGUCAUUUUUUUCCUCUUUUUUUUUUCAAUUUUUAACUUUGGAGCAUUGGGGAACAUUUUGCUCCUCAAACUUUGCUGCAACGGCUAGUCGCGUGGGACUUAACCUUUUCCAAUUUUAUUUCGCCUUCAUUGCCCUUUCAUUUCUGGCUUCUUUCUUCCAACUUUAAUUUCAGAGCAUUUGGGGUAUCUUGGCUUUUCAAACCCUGCCGAGAUGGUUAUCCACAUGGAACUCAAUCAUUUCAACUUCAUUUGCCUUUAUAGGCACUUCAAUUAGAUUUUCUCCUUCCAAGAGUUUUGAUUUCGAAGCAUCGGCCGCCAUGGCCAGUCGAGGUCGACUUGAUGCCCCUGAUGAGGCUGGGUGCCUUUUUGUGUAUUAGCUUGUAUCAAAGGAGAACCCUGUAAAUCAGUCUUACAAUCCUUUCUUUAUCUUAGUUUCGGAACAAAGUUAGGCCGAAAGGAAUUCAAAGAAAAAUAAACAAUGGAAAGGACAAUGAAUUUAAACAAAAGGUAUCCCUUUCGGGGAAACGACAGAAGGACUUAUCUGGAGUACAUGACAUGCCUUUAUGACUGGAUGUCUUAUUUGUGCAAACCGUCCGACUCUCAGAAAUUCAUCACAACCUUUGCCUCGAAAUCGAGAAACCUUGUACAGGACUAUGUCAGUGUCAGUGACUGAAGAUCCUCUUUUUCGAUCAGUGGUGCUCUUUGCGGGUUUUCACGAGAUGACCUCUCUCAUUUCUCUUCUCACCAUCGCCUUGUAGUGAUAUUUGCGAGUUUUCACUAACAAGACUUUCAUUUUAGUUUCUUUACUUACCAUCGUCUUACAGUGCCAGUGGGAGUUUUCAUCGAUAAGACUCUCUCAUUUCAUUUCUCUCAUUUGGUUGUAUCAGAUCCAAGUAUCUGUAUCCUCCAAUUCUUGAACAUUCUCGGUGAUUGAUCAGAAGGACUUGAACAGGGGUUUGGAGUAAAAAGCAUUUGGAUUGAAUUACAACCUUGGAACCUUUCAGGCAAACCCAUCGUCGAACCAUUGUAACUUCUGCCCCAGUUUCAACUUUUGGGGGAAUUUGGAUUUUUAUUUUGGUGUGAAUGAACCCCAGAGUGAGGUUGCCUAUGUAUCCUUUCAGAAUCAAGUCGAACGUAGUUCAAGGAACUUUAUUUUUUAUUUUCUUUGUUUUUCUCUUUUCUUUUGUGUUUUUUUUUUCUCUUUCUUUUUCCUUUCCUUUUUUUCUUUUUUUUUCUUUCAUUUUUCAUUUCAUUUUCUUUUUAUCUCUUUUUUGUUGUUUUUUUUCAAUAACACUUUCAAGUUCCAAAGAGGGUAAUCAAAGAAAGGUAAUCGGCUCAAAGGGUUUGCAAAGGAUUGAAUAUUUGGAUAGUGAAAAAGAAAGUCAUCUUCAUCCCAACCAGAGAACAUUAUUGUUAUAUAGAGAAUCCAACAUAGUACUUUUUGACUGCACUUGCGUUGACAGUUGUUUCAGGGACAUUUCCUUCGAUGUGUCCCAAGUACAAUGUUCUCUUUUGGUAGUACUCUUGUUGCAAUGUAUGGACCUUUCCAAUCUGGAGCCACUUUUUCUUUAGCUGUUCCGAUUCAUUGUUUUAUUUUCUUAAACUUAUCUUCAUUGCAAUCUAAUUCUUGAUUCAUUAUUUCGAGGUCUGACAGCGUUUUAGGAUCCGGGCAUGAGGUCUGCAAGCAUGUCAUGUUAUUUAAAUCUGCAUUUAAUAGAACUAAAAAGAGAAUAAGAAAAGUGACAAUAAGAAAAGAGACAUUCCUGGGCAAUGAAAUGAAUUUUUUUUAAUUUUAAAGAUAGAAGGGUUUACAUAGGAAAGUAAGACAAUAAAGUAAACCAUCCGGAUCACACCCUGAGAUAAUCCGGACGCAGAAAGGAUCGCAAGACUGGCUACCGAGACUCCCGUCUGAUAGGAAAUUUUCAAGUUUGGCGACCGUUUUUUAGUUUUUCUUCUUCUCGGCAAUGGCCUUCAGUGCCGGAUCAAAUUCCUUAUCUUCACAAAUCAUUCUGACUACUGGCCCAUUGUUGUGAGCUGGCAAGGGAUUGUUCGUCACAUCUGGAGCCUCCUCGUCCUGAAAAAUGAUUCUUUCGGCUUCAAUCAAAUUUUUAAUUGCCCUCUUGAGGGUCCAACAGUCCUCUGUACUAUGUCCCACUACUCCAGAGUGGUAUUCACAUCUAGCAUCAGCUCGGUGCGAGGGGGACUCGAGGUUCGGCCGGUUCGGGGCCACUGGCUGCAGCAGACCUAGCCUGAUUUGCUUUUCGAACAAGCUUGAAUAUGAUUCACCAAUAUGGGUGAACUGAUUCUUUCUGAAAGGCUCUCUUGGGCGAGGAUUGUACUGGGGGACAUUUGGUUGGGAUUAUAUGGAGCUUGGUAAGGAUGGGCAUUUCUGGAAGGUGGAGCUCAUUUUUGUGUAUAAUGAUGUGACCGCAUGUAAGGUUGCGCGCUCAUCACCACGUAGGGAGGCGGUGCAACAACAUAAGCAGCAUCUUGAAAGGGAUAAUAGUAUGGUAGGACCGAGACCAUAGGAAUCAUGUCUUUGGUUCUUGUGAAGUAAGGAUGAAAAGUGAGAUUACCAACAAAACCAACCACCUGAACAGAACCUGGCUAAUUUGCACACCCAACAACCUUGUUAGUUUUGAAAUGCUUAACAGAUAGGAAAUCGCACGUUUGGAUGCAAUGCACCUAAACAGUUAAACGUUUCUACCAUGUGUUUGAACGAUUGCUUGUUUCAUCCCGGCCUUAACUAACCUUUUUCACUCUGUACCUCUUUUCUUUCAUUUCUGUCUCUCUUUAAUCACUCUUGAUUUUCUCAUCUUGUUUCUGUCACUUUUAUUUUUGGCACUCUCUUUUUCUCUUUUUGUUUUUGUUACUCUUUUGUUUAUUACUAUUUUUUCGCUCUUUUUUCCUUUUAUUUUUGUCACUCUUUUCUUUCUUUUUCACUCAAUUUUUCUUUUCUUUUUUUAGUUUAUUUUUCACUCAAUUUAUUUUAUAGAUAUAAUUGAAUCCGAUGGGGAUUGCCUACGUAUCAUGACGCCGCAUGAAUCAGAUAAUUAGCACAUUAGGCCCACAAACACAGUAAGAAGACAAUUUAUACAGUUUAAAUGAUAUCAAAGCGGUAGCGGCAAUUAGCACAUUAGGCACACAAACACAGUAAUAUCAAAAAUCAAGAAAGCUAAGUAUAGAUCACAUUACAAGCUCGAAUUCUGAAUCUUGAACCAGAGAUUCUGGGUUCUUAUUCCCCAGCAGAGUAGCUAGAGCUGCCACACCUCCUUUUUUCCGAGGAGGAUAGGGAGUUUUUCCAAUUUAAGUGACAUUAUUCGGAUUAGGAUUAUUUAUUUUAUUUUAGAGUCGCCACUUGAGAUAAUUUAUGGAUCCAAGUCACCGGUUUAUUUUAAAUCCCAAAUCGAUAAUAUUUGACUCUGUUUAAAGGCUGUGAAACCAGAAGACCUGGUAAGGAAUUCUGUUAACCACUUUUAUCAUCUACCACUUUUAAUUAUGAUGUUUAUGGAUUUAAUCUUGAAACGGAUAACAUGUGUGUAAACCCGCUUAAUUUGGGGUGCUUAAAUCACGUCAUGCAUACGUGUACACAAUUAAUCACAUUUUAUUAGUUUGGGAUUGUUUGGCCAAAGUUGCGCGAGCGCAUACUUUGAUUUAUUUUUGGGAAUCGUAACCAUAUCACGCGAACAUGUACACAAUCACGAUGAUUUGAUUAAUUAGAGUGUGCCUAAAAGCAUACUAACAUAUUGAUUUUGAAGUUAUGAGGCAUUUUUCUUAUUAUGGAAAACUUGACCAAAUUUAUUCAAAGAAUGGGCCUUCUGAAUUUGGAAAUUCGGUCCAUUUAUUAGAAGAACGUUUCAUAAAAAAGAAAGCUAUUCUCAAGCCCACUUCUCAAUUAGUGAUUUAACCAAACAAAAACUUAUGAGUCAAAACUCUUUAACUAUUAUUAAUAAACAAACAACGACCCACAUUAUCAAUCAAUAACCCAAAUUAUCAUUUAAUAUACAACAAAAUCAAAUGGCUCAAUUCCAGCAUAACUACUGUAUUUGUUUUUUUUAUUUAACAAAUAAAAGAAGAGAUCAAACCAUGAAUAUUUAAGACAUUUUUCUAACAAACAUGCUGAAUAUCCCAACUCAUAAAAAUGGCAACAUGUCAAAACAAAGAAGAAAUCAGAAUAUACACAAACAUAGUAAUGUGGUCACGUUUAGUUCAAUCUUGACAGGAGCUAGCAGAAUAAAGCAAUAUUGAAGAUUCACACUUAACAAUAAAAAACGGACCUUAGUGAAACUUGACUCGCCGACUCGGCCACAAAACUAGAAAUCACAGACGAGUAAAAUUGACGGAGCUCAUCAAAAUUUCAGCGAAACAGCAACAGCAGUAGCGAAUAACGAAAUUUCAAACCAAUUUCUCUUCCCUCGAACUCCUAUUUCACUUUGGUUUUUUUGAAAGUUUUCAUUCCCAAAUCUGACUUUGCAAGAAAAAUUAUAUUAUUUUUAACUUUAGAGGGUGGCGGCUAAGUGAAGAAGUGUAGGGCUAUUAGGGUUUUUCAAUUUUGGGGAAGGUUCUUAUUUUUUCUGGUGUGUGUGUAUUAGUGAUGAAGGUGAGAGUUGAGAGUCGCCGUUUUUGGAAUUUUUAGGAAGGAGGAUGAGUUUUUUUUUGUUGAAGAAGAGAGGAGAAUGGAGCCGUUGUUAGUGUUUUUAGGGAGGGGUUCUUUUUUCUAUGGGAAUUGGAGGAGAUGGGGAUAACGGCUGAAGCUCUCAAAUGGGGAGAGGAUUUCAUUGCAGCAAUAGAGGAAAAAGAAAAAAAGGGGUGCCGUUGGUGUAGGGAAGUCCAAUUAUUGCCUUUUUUUUUUGGUGGGGGGAUCAUUUUUGUUCUCUUGAAGGGAAGGGGAUCCAAAAUUAGGUCUAGGAUUUUUUGUGGGAAGGGGCUAAUAAGGAAGGGGGAAUCCGAUUAGGCUUGGGAUUUUG
This 8806-nucleotide long non-coding RNA is filed under the name Nicotiana tabacum (common tobacco). Its description in RNAcentral is "long non-coding RNA (NTAB_LNC006045)". Lineage: Eukaryota; Viridiplantae; Streptophyta; Magnoliopsida; Solanales; Solanaceae. The record is from RNAcentral.